GCGCUGGUGUAGCUCAGUGGUUACUUCGACCUAUUCUGUUUGAAUGAAAGUCUCUAUCCCUCCGUGGGAUCGAACCACGGGCGCUGUCCAGUGCUUUU
RNAcentral lists this vault RNA (98 nucleotides) under Sphaeramia orbicularis (orbiculate cardinalfish). RNAcentral describes it as "Vault RNA (ENSSORG00005025409.1)". It matches the Rfam family "Vault RNA". From Rfam's summary of the family: This family of RNAs are found as part of the enigmatic vault ribonucleoprotein complex. Lineage: Eukaryota; Metazoa; Chordata; Actinopteri; Kurtiformes; Apogonidae. The record is from Rfam by way of RNAcentral.